This 253-nucleotide ribosomal RNA is filed under the name uncultured bacterium. RNAcentral describes it as "partial 16S ribosomal RNA". It matches the Rfam family "Bacterial small subunit ribosomal RNA", at positions 524 to 776 of the family's 1533-position model. The record is from RNAcentral.
UACGUAGGUGGCAAGCGUUGUCCGGAUUUAUUGGGUUUAAAGGGUGCGUAGGUGGGCAAGUAAGUCAGUGGUGAAAUCUCCGGGCUUAACCCGGAAACUGCCAUUGAUACUAUUUGUCUUGAAUACUGUGGAGGUCAGCGGAAUAUGUCAUGUAGCGGUGAAAUGCUUAGAUAUGACAUAGAACACCAAUUGCGAAGGCAGCUGGCUACACAAAUAUUGACACUGGGGCACGAAAGCGUGGGGAUCAAACAGG